AGUUGGUGAGGUAACGGCUCACCAAGACCGCGAUGGGUAGCCGGCCUGAGAGGGUGAACGGCCACACUGGAACUGAGACACGGUCCAGACUCCUACGGGAGGCAGCAGUGGGGAAUAUUGCACAAUGGAGGAAACUCUGAUGCAGCGACGCCGCGUGAGUGAAGAAGGCCUUCGGGUCGUAAAACUUUGUCCUAGGGGACGAUAAUGACGGUACCCUAGGAGGAAGCCCCGGCUAGCUACGUGCCAGCAGCCGCGGUAAUACGUAGGGGGCAAGCGUUGUCCGGAUUUAUUGGGCGUAAAGGGUGCGCAGGCGGCCUUUUAAGUCAGAUGUGAAAGCCCACGGCUCAACCGUGGUAAGCAUUUGAAACUGGAAGGCUUGAGUUAAGGAGAGGAAAGUGGAAUUCCUAGUGUAGCGGUGAAAUGCGUAGAUAUUAGGAGGAAUACCAGUGGCGAAGGCGACUUUCUGGACUUAUACUGACGCUGAGGCACGAAAGCGUGGGGAGCAAACAGGAUUAGAUACCCUGGUAGUCCACGCCGUAAACGAUGAGCGCUAGGUGUUGGGGGUCAAACCUCGGUGCCGCAGCUAACGC
RNAcentral lists this ribosomal RNA (590 nucleotides) under uncultured bacterium. RNAcentral's name for it is "bacterial SSU rRNA". It matches the Rfam family "Bacterial small subunit ribosomal RNA", at positions 247 to 858 of the family's 1533-position model. The record is from RNAcentral.